Molecule: ribosomal RNA, 701 nt
Filed under: Escherichia coli
Lineage: Bacteria; Pseudomonadati; Pseudomonadota; Gammaproteobacteria; Enterobacterales; Enterobacteriaceae
Description: partial 23S ribosomal RNA
Rfam family: Bacterial large subunit ribosomal RNA
Source: RNAcentral
AUUUAGGUAGCGCCUCGUGAACUCAUCUCCGGGGGUAGAGCACUGUUUCGGCAAGGGGGUCAUCCCGACUUACCAACCCGAUGCAAACUGCGAAUACCGGAGAAUGUUAUCACGGGAGACACACGGCGGGUGCUAACGUCCGUCGUGAAGAGGGAAACAACCCAGACCGCCAGCUAAGGUCCCAAAGUCAUGGUUAAGUGGGAAACGAUGUGGGAAGGCCCAGACAGCCAGGAUGUUGGCUUAGAAGCAGCCAUCAUUUAAAGAAAGCGUAAUAGCUCACUGGUCGAGUCGGCCUGCGCGGAAGAUGUAACGGGGCUAAACCAUGCACCGAAGCUGCGGCAGCGACGCUUAUGCGUUGUUGGGUAGGGGAGCGUUCUGUAAGCCUGCGAAGGUGUACUGUGAGGUAUGCUGGAGGUAUCAGAAGUGCGAAUGCUGACAUAAGUAACGAUAAAGCGGGUGAAAAGCCCGCUCGCCGGAAGACCAAGGGUUCCUGUCCAACGUUAAUCGGGGCAGGGUGAGUCGACCCCUAAGGCGAGGCCGAAAGGCGUAGUCGAUGGGAAACAGGUUAAUAUUCCUGUACUUGGUGUUACUGCGAAGGGGGGACGGAGAAGGCUAUGUUGGCCGGGCGACGGUUGUCCCGGUUUAAGCGUGUAGGCUGGUUUUCCAGGCAAAUCCGGAAAAUCAAGGCUGAGGCGUGAUGA